UUCAAUCUUUGACCUCAAAUCAGGUAGGACUACCCGCUGAACUUAAGCAUAUCAAUAAGCGGAGGAAAAGAAACUAACAAGGAUUCCCCUAGUAACUGCGAGUGAAGCGGGAAGAGCUCAAAUUUAAAAUCUGGCGGUUCUGCCGUCCGAGUUGUAAUCUGGAGAAGCG
RNAcentral lists this ribosomal RNA (169 nucleotides) under Peniophorella praetermissa. Its description in RNAcentral is "partial 28S ribosomal RNA". It matches the Rfam family "Eukaryotic large subunit ribosomal RNA", at positions 1 to 160 of the family's 3401-position model. The record is from RNAcentral. Lineage: Eukaryota; Fungi; Basidiomycota; Agaricomycetes; Hymenochaetales.